AUAAUAAUUAGUCUUUUAAUUGAAGGCUGGUAUGAAGGAUUGAACGAGAUAAAUACUGUCUCAUUAAAAUUAUUAUUUAAUUUAAUUUUUAAGUAAAAAAGCUUAAAUUUUAUUAUAGGACGAGAAGACCCCAUAGAGUUUUAUACUUUUUUUUAAUUUUCUAUAAAAUUUUAUUAAAUUAAAAAAAAAUAUUUUAUUGGGGCGAUAGAAAAAUUUAAUAAACUUUUUUAUUCAUUUAAACAAAGAUUAUUGAAAUUUUGAUCCUAAAUUUUAGAUUAAUAGAUUAAGUUACCUUGGGGAUAACAGCGUUAUUUUUUUUAAAAGUUCAUAUUAAUAGAAAAGAUUGC
This 347-nucleotide ribosomal RNA is filed under the name Antiperga antiopa. Its description in RNAcentral is "partial 16S ribosomal RNA". Lineage: Eukaryota; Metazoa; Arthropoda; Insecta; Hymenoptera; Pergidae. The record is from RNAcentral.